UAGGGAAUCUUCGGCAAUGGACGAAAGUCUGACCGAGCAACGCCGCGUGAGUGAAGAAGGUUUUCGGAUCGUAAAACUCUGUUGUUAGAGAAGAACAAGGACGUUAGUAACUGAACGUCCCCUGACGGUAUCUAACCAGAAAGCCACGGCUAACUACGUGCCAGCAGCCGCGGUAAUACGUAGGUGGCAAGCGUUGUCCGGAUUUAUUGGGCGUAAAGCGAGCGCAGGCGGUUUCUUAAGUCUGAUGUGAAAGCCCCCGGCUCAACCGGGGAGGGUCAUUGGAAACUGGGAGCCUUGAGUGCAGAAGAGGGGAGUGGAAUUCCAUGUGUAGCGGUACAAUGCGUAAAUAUAUAGAGGAACACCAGUGGCGAAGGCGGCUCUCUGGUCUGUAACUGACGCUGAGGCUCGAAAGCGUGGGGAGCAAACAGG
This 429-nucleotide ribosomal RNA is filed under the name Gemmatimonadota bacterium. RNAcentral describes it as "Gemmatimonadetes bacterium partial 16S ribosomal RNA". It matches the Rfam family "Bacterial small subunit ribosomal RNA", at positions 355 to 776 of the family's 1533-position model. The record is from RNAcentral. Lineage: Bacteria; Pseudomonadati; Gemmatimonadota.